ACCUGGCUGGCUCAGUUGGAAGAACAUGUGACUCUUAAUCUCAGGGUUGUGGGUUUGAGCCCCACGUUGGGUA
RNAcentral lists this transfer RNA (73 nucleotides) under Mustela putorius furo (domestic ferret). RNAcentral describes it as "tRNA-Lys (CTT) (tRNA-Lys-CTT-12-1)". It matches the Rfam family "tRNA". Rfam says of the family: Transfer RNA (tRNA) molecules are approximately 80 nucleotides in length. Their secondary structure includes four short double-helical elements and three loops (D, anti-codon, and T loops). Lineage: Eukaryota; Metazoa; Chordata; Mammalia; Carnivora; Mustelidae. The record is from Rfam by way of RNAcentral. RNAcentral also lists the same sequence under 1 other name.